AAAGUGCUGGGAUUAUAGGCCUGAGCCACCAUGUGCAGCAGAUGAGAAAUCAGGCUCCAUAGGUGACUACAUAAUUUGCAGAACCCAGAGGAAAAUGAAAAUGCAGGGUCCUAAUCCAAAAACCAGGAAAAACUGCUGUUAAAGGUACUAAAAUGUAAAGCUUUUUCCCUAUUUUGCAUGGUCUCUCAAAUUGUAAUAAUGUUUUUUAUUUGUUAUGUAAUGUCAUUUUAAGUAAAGAAAAAUUAAACCUUUUAAUUAUUAGCAUUA
Long non-coding RNA from Lemur catta (Ring-tailed lemur), 267 nucleotides. RefSeq lists it as uncharacterized. Lineage: Eukaryota; Metazoa; Chordata; Mammalia; Primates; Lemuridae. The transcript has 2 exons. The record is from RefSeq and is a predicted model, not a curated record.